GACGAACGCUGGGCGGCGGUGGAUUAGGCAUGCAAGUCGAACGGUAUCAUCCUUUCGGGGGUGAGAGAGUGGCGAACUGGUGAGUAACACGUAGGUUAUCUACCCUCAAGACGGGACAACCCAGGGAAACUUGGGCUAAUACCGGAUGUGAGCAACUUUAGUUGUUUGAAAGGUGGCGUAAGCUGUCGCUUGGGGAUGAGCCUGCGUCCUAUUAGUUAGUUGGUGAGGUAACGGCUCACCUAGGCAAUGAUAGGUAGGCGGCCUUAACGGGUGGUCGCCCACACUGGGAUUGAGAUACGGCCCAGACUCCUACGGGAGGCAGCAGUCGAGAAUAGUCUACAAUGGUCGGAAGACUGAUAGUGCGACGCCGCGUGAACGAUGAAUCCCUUCGGGGUGUAAAGUUCUUUUAUAUGUGAGCAGUGCUUCUUAUAUUAACAGUAUGGGGAGAGAGAUAUUAGCAUAUGAAUAAGCAACGGCUAACUCCGUG
Molecule: ribosomal RNA, 487 nt
Filed under: uncultured bacterium
Lineage: Bacteria
Description: bacterial SSU rRNA
Rfam family: Bacterial small subunit ribosomal RNA
Source: RNAcentral